Molecule: ribosomal RNA, 989 nt
Filed under: uncultured bacterium
Lineage: Bacteria
Description: bacterial SSU rRNA
Rfam family: Bacterial small subunit ribosomal RNA
Source: RNAcentral
GUAGUUAAUACCUGCAAUUCCGUGACGUUACUACAGAAUAAGGACCGCUAUUCCGUGCCAGCAGCGCCGUAAUACGAAGUCCAAGCGUUAAUCGGAAUUACUGGGCGUAAAGCGCGCGUAGGUGUUUUUUUAAGGUUGAAUGUGAAAGCCCUGGGCUCAACUUAGGAACUGCAUCCAAAACUAGAUGACUAGAGUACGAAAGAGGGAAGUAGAAUUCACAGUGUAGCGGCGGAAUGCGUAGAUAUUGUGAAGAAUACCAAUGGCGAAGGCAGCUUCCUGGUUCUGUACUGACACUGAGGUGCGAAAGCGUGGGUAGCGAACAGGAUUAGAUACCCUGGUAGUCCACGCCGUAAACGAUGACAACUAGCUGUUGGGAGACAAGAUCUCUCAGUGGCGCAGCUAACGCUUUAAGUUGUCCGCCUGGGGAGUACGGCCGCAAGGUUAAAACUCAAAUGAAUUGACGGGGACCCGCACAAGCGGUGGAGCAUGUGGUUUAAUUCGAUGCAACGCGAAAAACCUUACCUACUCUUGACAUACUUGGAAGCUCUUGUAAUGAGAGUGUGCUUUUAGAGCCAAGAUACAGGUGCUGCAUGGCUGUCGUCAGCUCGUGUCGUGAGAUGUUGGGUUAAGUCCCAUAACGAGCGCAACCCUUACCCUUAUUUGCCAGCGGUUCGGCCGGGAACUAUAAGGGGACUGCCGGUGACAAACCGGAGGAAGGUGAGGACGACGUCAAGUCAUCAUGGCCCUUACGAGUAGGGCUACACACGUGCUACAGUGGGGAAUACAGACGGACGCUAAAGCGUGAGCUGGUGCUAAUCCUAAAAAAUUUCUCGUAGUCCGGAUUGCAGUCUGCAACUCGACUGCAUGAAGUCGGAAUCGCUAGUAAUCGCGAAUCAGCAUGUCGCGGUGAAUACGUUCUCGGGUCUUGUACACACCGCCCGUCACACCAUGGAAGUGUGUUGCACCAGAAGUAGGUAGUCUAACCUUCG